This is a long non-coding RNA of Engraulis encrasicolus (European anchovy), 335 nucleotides long. RefSeq lists it as uncharacterized. NCBI's taxonomy places the organism in Eukaryota, Metazoa, Chordata, Actinopteri, Clupeiformes, Engraulidae. The record is from RefSeq and is a predicted model, not a curated record. The transcript is spliced from 3 exons.
GGUUGAGCCACCGUACAGGAAAGGUAGGCGUCCUUCUCGGUUGGUUUAUUGCUCUUUUUGGUGCAUUGUAAUGUACUUAGUUGUUGGUUACUGACACCAUUUAACUUAAUUGUAGCCCUGUCCAUCGGCGGCUGGCGUGGGGUCGGCUGCUGUUCUGGGAUGGUGUGCUGAGCUGGGCAAACUCAAGUGUCGCUGGUGAUGUUCUUCCACUUUGUGUCCUGUGUGGUUGACUGCUUGCAUGCCGCUUCGAGAGAACCAGAGGAGGAGAUGGUGCCUUCGACUACACUGAUGCAGUGUCACUAGAGAAGGGGGGCAUCACUGUUCUUUUCCCAACC